This 253-nucleotide ribosomal RNA is filed under the name uncultured bacterium. RNAcentral's name for it is "partial 16S ribosomal RNA". It matches the Rfam family "Bacterial small subunit ribosomal RNA", at positions 524 to 776 of the family's 1533-position model. The record is from RNAcentral.
UACGUAGGGUGCAAGCGUUAUCCGGAAUUAUUGGGCGUAAAGAGCUUGUAGGCGGUCUGUCGCGUCUGCUGUGAAAAUCCGGGGCUCAACCCCGGACUUGCAGUGGGUACGGGCAGACUAGAGUGUGGUAGGGGAGACUGGAAUUCCUGGUGUAGCGGUGAAAUGCGCAGAUAUCAGGAGGAACACCGAUGGCGAAGGCAGGUCUCUGGGCCACUACUGACGCUGAGAAGCGAAAGCAUGGGGAGCGAACAGG